Non-coding RNA from Nitratiruptor tergarcus DSM 16512, 72 nucleotides. The record is from Rfam. NCBI's taxonomy places the organism in Bacteria, Pseudomonadati, Campylobacterota, Epsilonproteobacteria, Nautiliales, Nitratiruptoraceae.
GGUCGCGUAGCUCAGGGGUAGAGCACUACGUUGACAUCGUAGUGGUCAGAGGUUCGAAUCCUCUCGCGACCA